RNAcentral lists this ribosomal RNA (2930 nucleotides) under Escherichia coli. RNAcentral describes it as "bacterial LSU rRNA". It matches the Rfam family "Bacterial large subunit ribosomal RNA". The record is from RNAcentral. Lineage: Bacteria; Pseudomonadati; Pseudomonadota; Gammaproteobacteria; Enterobacterales; Enterobacteriaceae.
GGGUUGUGAGGUUAAGCGACUAAGCGUACACGGUGGAUGCCCUGGCAGUCAGAGGCGAUGAAGGACGUGCUAAUCUGCGAUAAGCGUCGGUAAGGUGAUAUGAACCGUUAUAACCGGCGAUUUCCGAAUGGGGAAACCCAGUGUGUUUCGACACACUAUCAUUAACUGAAUCCAUAGGUUAAUGAGGCGAACCGGGGGAACUGAAACAUCUAAGUACCCCGAGGAAAAGAAAUCAACCGAGAUUCCCCCAGUAGCGGCGAGCGAACGGGGAGCAGCCCAGAGCCUGAAUCAGUGUGUGUGUUAGUGGAAGCGUCUGGAAAGGCGCGCGAUACAGGGUGACAGCCCCGUACACAAAAAUGCACAUAUUGUGAGCUCGAUGAGUAGGGCGGGACACGUGGUAUCCUGUCUGAAUAUGGGGGGACCAUCCUCCAAGGCUAAAUACUCCUGACUGACCGAUAGUGAACCAGUACCGUGAGGGAAAGGCGAAAAGAACCCCGGCGAGGGGAGUGAAAAAGAACCUGAAACCGUGUACGUACAAGCAGUGGGAGCACGCUUAGGCGUGUGACUGCGUACCUUUUGUAUAAUGGGUCAGCGACUUAUAUUCUGUAGCAAGGUUAACCGAAUAGGGGAGCCGAAGGGAAACCGAGUCUUAACUGGGCGUUAAGUUGCAGGGUAUAGACCCGAAACCCGGUGAUCUAGCCAUGGGCAGGUUGAAGGUUGGGUAACACUAACUGGAGGACCGAACCGACUAAUGUUGAAAAAUUAGCGGAUGACUUGUGGCUGGGGGUGAAAGGCCAAUCAAACCGGGAGAUAGCUGGUUCUCCCCGAAAGCUAUUUAGGUAGCGCCUCGUGAAUUCAUCUCCGGGGGUAGAGCACUGUUUCGGCAAGGGGGUCAUCCCGACUUACCAACCCGAUGCAAACUGCGAAUACCGGAGAAUGUUAUCACGGGAGACACACGGCGGGUGCUAACGUCCGUCGUGAAGAGGGAAACAACCCAGACCGCCAGCUAAGGUCCCAAAGUCAUGGUUAAGUGGGAAACGAUGUGGGAAGGCCCAGACAGCCAGGAUGUUGGCUUAGAAGCAGCCAUCAUUUAAAGAAAGCGUAAUAGCUCACUGGUCGAGUCGGCCUGCGCGGAAGAUGUAACGGGGCUAAACCAUGCACCGAAGCUGCGGCAGCGACGCUUAUGCGUUGUUGGGUAGGGGAGCGUUCUGUAAGCCUGUGAAGGUGUACUGUGAGGUAUGCUGGAGGUAUCAGAAGUGCGAAUGCUGACAUAAGUAACGAUAAAGCGGGUGAAAAGCCCGCUCGCCGGAAGACCAAGGGUUCCUGUCCAACGUUAAUCGGGGCAGGGUGAGUCGACCCCUAAGGCGAGGCCGAAAGGCGUAGUCGAUGGGAAACAGGUUAAUAUUCCUGUACUUGGUGUUACUGCGAAGGGGGGACGGAGAAGGCUAUGUUGGCCGGGCGACGGUUGUCCCGGUUUAAGCGUGUAGGCUGGUUUUCCAGGCAAAUCCGGAAAAUCAAGGCUGAGGCGUGAUGACGAGGCACUACGGUGCUGAAGCAACAAAUGCCCUGCUUCCAGGAAAAGCCUCUAAGCAUCAGGUAACAUCAAAUCGUACCCCAAACCGACACAGGUGGUCAGGUAGAGAAUACCAAGGCGCUUGAGAGAACUCGGGUGAAGGAACUAGGCAAAAUGGUGCCGUAACUUCGGGAGAAGGCACGCUGAUAUGUAGGUGAAGCGACUUGCUCGUGGAGCUGAAAUCAGUCGAAGAUACCAGCUGGCUGCAACUGUUUAUUAAAAACACAGCACUGUGCAAACACGAAAGUGGACGUAUACGGUGUGACGCCUGCCCGGUGCCGGAAGGUUAAUUGAUGGGGUUAGCGCAAGCGAAGCUCUUGAUCGAAGCCCCGGUAAACGGCGGCCGUAACUAUAACGGUCCUAAGGUAGCGAAAUUCCUUGUCGGGUAAGUUCCGACCUGCACGAAUGGCGUAAUGAUGGCCAGGCUGUCUCCACCCGAGACUCAGUGAAAUUGAACUCGCUGUGAAGAUGCAGUGUACCCGCGGCAAGACGGAAAGACCCCGUGAACCUUUACUAUAGCUUGACACUGAACAUUGAGCCUUGAUGUGUAGGAUAGGUGGGAGGCUUUGAAGUGUGGACGCCAGUCUGCAUGGAGCCGACCUUGAAAUACCACCCUUUAAUGUUUGAUGUUCUAACGUUGACCCGUAAUCCGGGUUGCGGACAGUGUCUGGUGGGUAGUUUGACUGGGGCGGUCUCCUCCUAAAGAGUAACGGAGGAGCACGAAGGUUGGCUAAUCCUGGUCGGACAUCAGGAGGUUAGUGCAAUGGCAUAAGCCAGCUUGACUGCGAGCGUGACGGCGCGAGCAGGUGCGAAAGCAGGUCAUAGUGAUCCGGUGGUUCUGAAUGGAAGGGCCAUCGCUCAACGGAUAAAAGGUACUCCGGGGAUAACAGGCUGAUACCGCCCAAGAGUUCAUAUCGACGGCGGUGUUUGGCACCUCGAUGUCGGCUCAUCACAUCCUGGGGCUGAAGUAGGUCCCAAGGGUAUGGCUGUUCGCCAUUUAAAGUGGUACGCGAGCUGGGUUUAGAACGUCGUGAGACAGUUCGGUCCCUAUCUGCCGUGGGCGCUGGAGAACUGAGGGGGGCUGCUCCUAGUACGAGAGGACCGGAGUGGACGCAUCACUGGUGUUCGGGUUGUCAUGCCAAUGGCACUGCCCGGUAGCUAAAUGCGGAAGAGAUAAGUGCUGAAAGCAUCUAAGCACGAAACUUGCCCCGAGAUGAGUUCUCCCUGACUCCUUGAGAGUCCUGAAGGAACGUUGAAGACGACGACGUUGAUAGGCCGGGUGUGUAAGCGCAGCGAUGCGUUGAGCUAACCGGUACUAAUGAACCGUGAGGCUUAACCUUACAACGCCGAAGCUGUU